RNAcentral lists this ribosomal RNA (432 nucleotides) under uncultured bacterium. Its description in RNAcentral is "partial 16S ribosomal RNA". It matches the Rfam family "Bacterial small subunit ribosomal RNA", at positions 29 to 507 of the family's 1533-position model. The record is from RNAcentral.
ACGCACGCUGGCGGCAUGCCUCACACAUGCACGUCGAACGAGACCUUCGGGUCUAGUGGCGCACGGGUGCGUAACGCGUGGGAACCUGCCCUUAGGUUCGGAAUAACUCCCCGAAAGGGGUGCUAAUACCGGAUAAUGUCUUCGGACCAAAGAUUUAUCGCCUUUGGAUGGGCCCGCGUUGGAUUAGCUAGUUGGUAGGGUAAAAGCCUACCAAGGCGACGAUCCAUAGCUGGUCUGAGAGGAUGAUCAGCCACACUGGGACUGAGACACGGCCCAGACUCCUACGGGAGGCAGCAGUGGGGAAUAUUGGACAAUGGGCGAAAGCCUGAUCCAGCAAUGCCGCGUGAGUGAUGAAGGCCUUAGGGUUGUAAAGCUCUUUUACCCGGGAUGAUAAUGACAGUACCGGGAGAAUAAGCUCCGGCUAACUCCGUG